This 478-nucleotide ribosomal RNA is filed under the name uncultured bacterium. RNAcentral's name for it is "partial 16S ribosomal RNA". It matches the Rfam family "Bacterial small subunit ribosomal RNA", at positions 28 to 523 of the family's 1533-position model. The record is from RNAcentral.
GACGAACGCUGGCGGCGUGCUUAACACAUGCAAGUCGAACGGGAAGGCCCUUCGGGGUACACGAGUGGCGAACGGGUGAGUAACACGUGGGUGAUCUGCCCUGCACUUCGGGAUAAGCCUGGGAAACUGGGUCUAAUACCGGAUAGGACCACUGCCUGCAUGGGGGGUGGUGGAAAGCUUUUGCGGUGUGGGAGGGGCCCGCGGCCGAUCAGCUUGUUGGUGGGGUGAUGGCCUACCAAGGCGACGACGGGUAGCCGGCCUGAGAGGGGGACCGGGCGCACGGGGACGGAGAUACGGCCCAGGCUCCUGCGGGAGGCAGCAGGGGGGAAUAUUGCACAAUGGGCGCAAGCCUGGUGCAGGGACGCCGCGUGAGGGAUGACGGCCUUCGGGUUGUAAACCUCUUUCAGCAUCGACGAAGCGCAAGUGACGGUAGGUGCAGAAGAAGGACCGGCCAACUACGUGCCAGCCGCCGCGGUAA